This 563-nucleotide ribosomal RNA is filed under the name uncultured Orbiliaceae. Its description in RNAcentral is "eukaryotic LSU rRNA". The stretch from base 288 to 563 matches the Rfam family "Eukaryotic large subunit ribosomal RNA", at positions 1 to 273 of the family's 3401-position model. The record is from RNAcentral. Lineage: Eukaryota; Fungi; Ascomycota; Orbiliomycetes; Orbiliales.
GCAGCGAAACGCGAUAGUUAAUGUGAAUUGCAGAAUUCAGUGAAUCAUCGAGUCUUUGAACGCACAUUGCGCCCAUUGGUAUUCCUUUGGGCAUGUCUGUUUGAGCGUCAUUACAACACCUCAGCGCAUGCUGGUUUUGAGCUGUGAGGGGCUUUUCAAGCCUCUUCCGCUUUAAAGUUGUAAGCUCUGCUGGCUCUCAGCCUGACCGAAAACAUAGUAAACUUCUUGCCUUGUUUAUGGAAUGGUUGUGGGGUUCGGCCUGAACAACACCUUCAAUUCUUAAGGUUUGACCUCAGAUCAGACAAGGAUACCCGCUGAACUUAAGCAUAUCAAUAAGCGGAGGAGAAGAAACCAACAGGGAUUGCCUCAGUAACGGCGAGUGAAGCGGCAAUAGCUCAAAUUUGAAAUCUGGAGCCUUCGGCUUCCGAGUUGUAAUUUGAAGAGGAUGUUUCGGUUGCGAUCUGGGCCUAAGUUCCUUGGAACAGGACGUCAUGGAGGGUGAGAAUCCCGUACAUGGCUGCAGGUUUGCUUCUAUGUGAAACUCCUUCGAAGAGUCGAGUUGU